GAUGAACGCUGACAGAAUGCUUAACACAUGCAAGUCCACUUGAAUUUGGGUUUUUAACUUAGGUUUGGGUGGCGGACGGGUGAGUAACGCGUAAAGAACUUGCCUCACAGCUAGGGACAACAUUUGGAAACGAAUGCUAAUACCUAAUAUUAUGAUAAUAGGGCAUCCUAUAAUUAUGAAAGCUAUAAGCGCUGUGAGAGAGCUUUGCGUCCCAUUAGCUAGUUGGAGAGGUAACGGCUCACCAAGGCGAUGAUGGGUAGCCGGCCUGAGAGGGUGAUCGGCCACAAGGGGACUGAGACACGGCCCUUACUCAUACGGGAGGCAGCAGUGGGGAAUAUUGGACAAUGGGCCGAGAGUCUGAUCCAGCAAUUCUGUGUGCACGAUGAAGUUUUUCGGAAUGUAAAGUGCUUUCAGUUGGGAAGAAACAAAUGACGGUACCAACAGAAGAAGUGACGGCUAAAUACGUG
This 467-nucleotide ribosomal RNA is filed under the name uncultured bacterium. RNAcentral describes it as "partial 16S ribosomal RNA". It matches the Rfam family "Bacterial small subunit ribosomal RNA", at positions 28 to 507 of the family's 1533-position model. The record is from RNAcentral.